Molecule: ribosomal RNA, 1313 nt
Filed under: Bacillus pumilus
Lineage: Bacteria; Bacillati; Bacillota; Bacilli; Caryophanales; Bacillaceae
Description: bacterial SSU rRNA
Rfam family: Bacterial small subunit ribosomal RNA
Source: RNAcentral
UGCAAGUCGAGCGGACAGAAGGGAGCUUGCUCCCGGAUGUUAGCGGCGGACGGGUGAGUAACACGUGGGUAACCUGCCUGUAAGACUGGGAUAACUCCGGGAAACCGGAGCUAAUACCGGAUAGUUCCUUGAACCGCAUGGUUCAAGGAUGAAAGACGGUUUCGGCUGUCACUUACAGAUGGACCCGCGGCGCAUUAGCUAGUUGGUGGGGUAAUGGCUCACCAAGGCGACGAUGCGUAGCCGACCUGAGAGGGUGAUCGGCCACACUGGGACUGAGACACGGCCCAGACUCCUACGGGAGGCAGCAGUAGGGAAUCUUCCGCAAUGGACGAAAGUCUGACGGAGCAACGCCGCGUGAGUGAUGAAGGUUUUCGGAUCGUAAAGCUCUGUUGUUAGGGAAGAACAAGUGCGAGAGUAACUGCUCGCACCUUGACGGUACCUAACCAGAAAGCCACGGCUAACUACGUGCCAGCAGCCGCGGUAAUACGUAGGUGGCAAGCGUUGUCCGGAAUUAUUGGGCGUAAAGGGCUCGCAGGCGGUUUCUUAAGUCUGAUGUGAAAGCCCCCGGCUCAACCGGGGAGGGUCAUUGGAAACUGGGAAACUUGAGUGCAGAAGAGGAGAGUGGAAUUCCACGUGUAGCGGUGAAAUGCGUAGAGAUGUGGAGGAACACCAGUGGCGAAGGCGACUCUCUGGUCUGUAACUGACGCUGAGGAGCGAAAGCGUGGGGAGCGAACAGGAUUAGAUACCCUGGUAGUCCACGCCGUAAACGAUGAGUGCUAAGUGUUAGGGGGUUUCCGCCCCUUAGUGCUGCAGCUAACGCAUUAAGCACUCCGCCUGGGGAGUACGGUCGCAAGACUGAAACUCAAAGGAAUUGACGGGGGCCCGCACAAGCGGUGGAGCAUGUGGUUUAAUUCGAAGCAACGCGAAGAACCUUACCAGGUCUUGACAUCCUCUGACAACCCUAGAGAUAGGGCUUUCCCUUCGGGGACAGAGUGACAGGUGGUGCAUGGUUGUCGUCAGCUCGUGUCGUGAGAUGUUGGGUUAAGUCCCGCAACGAGCGCAACCCUUGAUCUUAGUUGCCAGCAUUUAGUUGGGCACUCUAAGGUGACUGCCGGUGACAAACCGGAGGAAGGUGGGGAUGACGUCAAAUCAUCAUGCCCCUUAUGACCUGGGCUACACACGUGCUACAAUGGACAGAACAAAGGGCUGCGAGACCGCAAGGUUUAGCCAAUCCCAUAAAUCUGUUCUCAGUUCGGAUCGCAGUCUGCAACUCGACUGCGUGAAGCUGGAAUCGCUAGUAAUCGCGGAUCAGC